UGGUGGAGUGAUUUGUCUGGUUAAUUCCGAUAACGAACGAGACCUUAACCUGCUAAAUAGCCAGGCCGGCUUUGGCCGGUCGCGGGCUUCUUAGAGGGACUGUCGGCGUCUAGCCGACGGAAGUUUGAGGCAAUAACA
RNAcentral lists this ribosomal RNA (138 nucleotides) under uncultured eukaryote. RNAcentral describes it as "partial 18S ribosomal RNA". It matches the Rfam family "Eukaryotic small subunit ribosomal RNA", at positions 1299 to 1458 of the family's 1831-position model. The record is from RNAcentral.